RNAcentral lists this microRNA precursor (138 nucleotides) under Oryza sativa (Asian cultivated rice). RNAcentral's name for it is "miR5497 stem-loop (osa-MIR5497)". Lineage: Eukaryota; Viridiplantae; Streptophyta; Magnoliopsida; Poales; Poaceae. The record is from miRBase by way of RNAcentral.
AAUUGUUGCCCAGAAUAUCUGGGACGAGCAUGAUAACAUGUGCACAGUAUAGCUCGGACUUGUUAAUCUCCUAAUGUUGGCUCUCCCAAUGCCUUCCAUUCUCACACACUCUUCUAUAUGUUUUCUUGGGUAGAUAGC